AAUCUAAAUCAGAUUCAUCUUCAGCAGUGUUUUGCAAGAUAUCUUGCAAAGCACUGCUGAAGAUGAAUCUGAUUUAGAUUCGAACU
This 86-nucleotide microRNA precursor is filed under the name Paramuricea clavata. Lineage: Eukaryota; Metazoa; Cnidaria; Anthozoa; Malacalcyonacea; Plexauridae. The record is from RNAcentral.